Long non-coding RNA from Papaver somniferum (opium poppy), 1514 nucleotides. RefSeq lists it as uncharacterized. The transcript has 5 exons. Lineage: Eukaryota; Viridiplantae; Streptophyta; Magnoliopsida; Ranunculales; Papaveraceae. The record is from RefSeq and is a predicted model, not a curated record.
UCUCCUCCUUCUCCUCCCUCUACCUUCGACCUGAAUCCGCCAUAACUUAAACAUGUAAGUCUUCUUUCCUUUCCCUUGGUCAGAAAAAUCCUAAAGCUACUUCAAUGCUUCAUCUUCUACUCUAUUCUUCCAAUCCUACAAAGAAUCAUUCCCAUCUUGCUAAUAAUUGUUCAUUUUUAAACCCUAAAUCGUGUUAACCCUAAAUACCAUUAAAAUCAAAUAUCAAAUUUUGAAACAAUCGUUUCGAGUUUCCUCAUCUCUUAUUAUUUUUCUUCUUGAACAACAAAUUGAUAAGAUCAUUUUACGAACCCUAGAUACUAAAAUUUCAUAUGGGAUCAAAUAAUUCAUAGACUUUGGUUGCUUACUUGCAAGCUAUUUCCUAGUAUUCUGCAUACGCCAUAUCAUGGAAGAGAGAUACACUCCUUGUUCUUUGUCUCUAAUGAAUAAGAAACAUAUACAAAUGGAAGCAGCCAUCACUCAAACCGAUUGAGCUGCAUUGCGACAGGUUGUGAAGAUGAAACAUUCACACUGACAAGGUACAAAUUCCGUUCUUUUAUAAAAUCCAAAUUAUUCCAAGGGUGUCGCAUACAAAUUUUUGAUGCCUCCAAUAAUCUUCAUCAGUAGCUGGAAGCUACACUUUAUGCAUGAUCUUGAGCUGAUAGGAGAACCGUCAUACAGGUAUACCCCUGACUCUGAAAUGUUUGGUUGAAGUCUUACUUUAGUAAAGAGUACAACUGGUGCAUCUGUUGCAACAAACAUAUACUUCAGCCGUUUUCCACUUGCAACUCUGUUGAGACCCUUCCAAAAAAUUUGCAUGCCUCCCAAAGUAUAUAAAGUGGUUCAGUCUUACACUACAUGCAGAAAAAGGAAUAAGUAUUUCCUUAGAUGGAGACUGCUGACUGAGCGUCGGACAAGUCUGAUGGUAUGCUUUGGGGUCGAAGGAAUUAUUGUUGCACGGAAAUAAAUUGUUGGUUCUUCUCUAGCUACUGAUGGUCCCAUUCAUGGUAUGUCAGUUACCAUGUGAGCAGAUACAGCAUAUCAAAGUUUGCUAACAAUUACAACGUGUAUGCUGUGGACUUAUUGGGAUUUGGCUGGAGCAAUAAAGCACUUGUCAACUAUCAUGCAGUGGUAUUAGAAAGUGUUGAAUCCAUUUUACAGAUAACGCCUACAUCCAUUGUAAGCUCAAGUUGCAGAUGAGGUGGUUGAUCUUCAUCUUUUCCUGCUACGACGCAAAGUGAAGAUGUCAUGUAUUCCCCUUAAUAUCCUAAAUUCAAGGUUAAAGCGAAUAAGAGAUGUCUUAUUAGUGCUUCUUGAAGUUCUGGGGAAGAAGGUUAAUCUUGUUUUCAGUGCAUAUUCACACCUAAAACUGUUGUAGUUCUAGUACUGUAUGUCAAGUUAUGUUUUUGGUUUGUUCCAUAUGGAAUUGACGAUUGUGUUAUUGACCUAGCUUAAUUAUUUGUAUUUGAAUCUUCCAGAGGUAUUUGAUUUUCUAUGAUGAAUUGACUUCAAGCUUU